Molecule: transfer RNA, 74 nt
Filed under: Rattus norvegicus (Norway rat)
Lineage: Eukaryota; Metazoa; Chordata; Mammalia; Rodentia; Muridae
Rfam family: tRNA
About the family: Transfer RNA (tRNA) molecules are approximately 80 nucleotides in length. Their secondary structure includes four short double-helical elements and three loops (D, anti-codon, and T loops).
Source: Rfam by way of RNAcentral
GGAAAGAUGGCUCUGUGGGUAAGAGCACUUGCUAUGCAAGCAUGAGGGCCUGAGUUCAAAUCCCAAGCUGGCCG